Anas platyrhynchos (mallard) is the source of this 1109-nucleotide long non-coding RNA. RefSeq lists it as uncharacterized. Lineage: Eukaryota; Metazoa; Chordata; Aves; Anseriformes; Anatidae. The record is from RefSeq and is a predicted model, not a curated record.
GCAGGCGUCUGCUGCGCCAGGCCCCGCUCAGCGAGCAUGUCCAGGGGCCUCUCCUGUGGGAACCCGUGGUGGAGACACCUGGGCAUGGCGCUGGCCUGGCACCGAGUAGAUAAUGAAGCAUAUGAGUGCUGUCUCGUCUCAGGUAUCAGUCUGGGGCAUCAGAAAUCUUCCCUGUAGUGAAUGGAGGUGGUUUGGUGUGGUUUGGGGGGCAGCUCUUGCACGCCACGGGCUGCUGGCAGGCACGGCUUCUAGCUGUUCCCCCGAUGAGCUGUCCGCUGUCAGGCUGCUUGUUUUGUGUGGGAAGAGGAACAAGGAGACCGGCAACGGAGAUAAAGUUAACUGUGCUGGCAACGUGGAAAGCCUUUCACUGAGCGCAAGGACAAAGCGAGGAGGAUUUAUCAGCAGGAGCACAGUGGUCGUGGGAGACAGAGGAGAGAUAAAGAGCCUCCCACUGCCCCUGGGCAUCCCACUUGCACGUGCCCCUGCUCUGACCUUGUGGAAGAAGCAGGGGGAUGAGGAGAGCUCCGUCCCCACAAGAGUCCUGUCGAUGUCGGUUUCCAGUGGAGAGCCUUUCAGUUUGCAUUACUGUUUUCAGGGGAGAAGAUCUAUUCUCAGCAUAGUCCCAGAUUUCUGAGAACUGAAACAUUGUUAACCUCAUUUCUUCAUCAUUUUUGAAAGUAAAAAUUCUCACCUAUGGAAACCACUGGUCAUUUCUGAGUGCCACUUGUCCUUGGAGGAAGAAGAAACAGAAAGCAAAGUUCCAGAAGGACAGCUCCCUUCCUGGGGAGCACAGGAGCUUCUUUUUGCUCUCAGUGUCCUGAAAUGGCUCUGAGCCUCUGGCUGGCAGAAGACACCACGCUUACAUGAUGGUCUGCACCCUGAUCCUCGGGAGAUGCUGCAGCACCACUGCAAGGGCACGUCAGAGCACACACCUGCUGGGUGCUCUUCGUGGGCCCACAGGAUCCAUUUUUGAAGAAAACCCAUUGCACCAGGGCGAGUGGUGCUGAGCAUCUCAAAAUUUCACAUCUGGAUGAAAGAAGUUGCACUGUCUCCCAUUCUGCAACCAAGAAUGUGAAGCUGGAAAAGACAAACCCAAAUCAUACUGAAAA